Molecule: ribosomal RNA, 497 nt
Filed under: uncultured bacterium
Lineage: Bacteria
Description: partial 16S ribosomal RNA
Rfam family: Bacterial small subunit ribosomal RNA
Source: RNAcentral
GAUGAACGCUGGCGGCGUGCCUAGUACAUGCAAGUCGAGCGAACAGACGAGGAGCUUGCUCCUCUGACGUUAGCGGCGGACGGGUGAGUAACACGUGGAUAACCUACCUAUAAGACUGGGAUAACUUCGGGAAACCGGAGCUAAUACCGGAUAAUAUAUUGAACCGCAUGGUUCAAUAGUGAAAGACGGUUUUGCUGUCACUUAUAGAUGGAUCCGCGCCGCAUUAGCUAGUUGGUAAGGUAACGGCUUACCAAGGCAACGAUGCGUAGCCGACCUGAGAGGGUGAUCGGCCACACUGGAACUGAGACACGGUCCAGACUCCUACGGGAGGCAGCAGUAGGGAAUCUUCCGCAAUGGGCGAAAGCUUGACGGAGCAACGCCGCGUGAGUGAUGAAGGUCUUCGGAUCGUAAAACUCUGUUAUUAGGGAAGAACAAAUGUGUAAGUAACUAUGCACGUCUUGACGGUACCUAAUCAGAAAGCCACGGCUAACUACGUG